This 354-nucleotide unclassified non-coding RNA is filed under the name soil metagenome. RNAcentral describes it as "partial contains 5.8S ribosomal RNA, internal transcribed spacer 2, and large subunit ribosomal RNA". The stretch from base 1 to 120 matches the Rfam family "5.8S ribosomal RNA", at positions 35 to 154 of the family's 154-position model. The record is from RNAcentral.
GAUGAAGAACGCAGUGAAACGCGAUAUGUAAUGUGAAUUGCAGAAUUCAGUGAAUCAUCGAAUCUUUGAACGCACAUGGCGCCUUCCAGUAUCCUGGGAGGCAUGCCUGUCCGAGCGUCGUUUCAACCCUCGAGCCCCCGUGGCCCGGCGUUGGGGAUCUGCCCAGGCAGUCCCCGAAAACCAGUGGCGGACCCGUUACAGGCCCUUCCCUUGCGUAGUAGCAUUCGCCUCGCAUCGGGAGCCGGCGGGCUUCCAGCCUCUAAACCCCCAUCAAGUCCGCCCCGGCGGCACCAAGGUUGACCUCGGAUCAGGUAGGAAUACCCGCUGAACUUAAGCAUAUCAAUAAGCGGAGGA